GUGAGGGCUAAUGCCCACACACUCCUCACACACACACCGGCCCGAUGAAUUCGGGCUUU
Molecule: small RNA, 59 nt
Filed under: uncultured Prochlorococcus sp.
Lineage: Bacteria; Bacillati; Cyanobacteriota; Cyanophyceae; Synechococcales; Prochlorococcaceae
Description: Cyanobacterial functional RNA 1
Rfam family: Cyanobacterial functional RNA 1
Source: RNAcentral